UGUGUGUGUGUGUGUGUGUGUGUGUGUGUGUGUGUGUGUAUGCUUGUUUAAAAUGAAUGUAUUUUGAUGGAAUAGAAUAUGAUCAUUUUGUGGAGGGUUUGGCAGGUGUACUUUAAGUUGCCUUGUCUCUGAGACUAAAAGCCUUCCCAACACAAACAAACACACACACACACACACACAUAUA
Non-coding RNA from Podarcis lilfordi (Lilford's wall lizard), 184 nucleotides. The record is from the annotation of a GenBank genome assembly. NCBI's taxonomy places the organism in Eukaryota, Metazoa, Chordata, Lepidosauria, Squamata, Lacertidae.